RNAcentral lists this long non-coding RNA (1044 nucleotides) under Homo sapiens (human). RNAcentral describes it as "HSALNT0026418". The record is from RNAcentral. Lineage: Eukaryota; Metazoa; Chordata; Mammalia; Primates; Hominidae.
GGGGGCUGCUGUGUUUAUCCAAGUGCUCCAGCGGCUGCGGGAGUUUUCUGCUUGUGUUUAUAUUUUCAGAAGGGGGCUGAAGAGCUAUGCCCAGACUGGAGCACGAGUCUGCUUGCUGGUGUGUUUCUCAGUCCAGUUUGAUUUUUUAAAGGUACCCUCCAUGGGACAGAACUCUGCUUACAAACUUUAAAACUGGAUGAUGCAAAAAUUACCUGCACAGCAGAGGAGGACAACGAACCAUAGUAAGUUUAAGUGAUGGAUUCUUUAAUCUAUCAUUAAUUUGUACAGAUAAGUCAAAGAAAGGUAGUAGCAGAUACGGAGCCCUCGCCGUGUACGCAACGCUUGACAUCCUUUCUCACUGAGUCCCCACAGUAGACCUAGUGCUGCCAUUUUGCAGGAUGGGCUGAGUGUUCAUAUUGCCUCACCUUUCAUCAAAGCACCAUCUGGGAACCAGAACUUGGCAUUUGAGAAAAAUCAGAGAUGACUAAGAAUAAGAACAAUCUCAUCAGGAGAAGAGCCGUUGAUCUCCUGUUCCUCUUCUAGAAGUUGGUACCAGUUGAAACUAAAGGAGGGUGUGCAUGAACUAUGGCAGAUCCAGAAUAUUCUGUUUCAUUUUCAGUUGACCUGAUGCAUACAUACGGCCCUGUUCCCAGUGGGCAGGCAAGCCUGGAUCUUUCUCCACAUGGUGCCAGUCAAUGGUUCAAUCCAAAAGUAUUAAUGUCAGCCAAGUCAUAUCAAAGUUCCUGCCUUAUCUAGAUGAGACUUCCACCACAGAUCUUACAGAUGAUCUUAUACAACAUAUAUGUCCAUUUCAAAUUGAGAAAACUGAGGCUGGGAGGGUAACUAACUGGUCUGAGGGCCUCUAACAAGUCUGUGGUCAAUUAGCAAGAGCUCUCUGUCAGCUCACCUCUGUGCAGUGUGCCAAGGCCACACUCAGACCCACACUGACAUUGUACAAAAACUAAAAUGAACGAUUCCCAGAGUUCUCCAACUAAACUUUCUGUUUUAGAUGAAGGACAAUAAUACAGACAAAAUGAAAAUUAC